This 443-nucleotide ribosomal RNA is filed under the name uncultured bacterium. RNAcentral's name for it is "bacterial SSU rRNA". It matches the Rfam family "Bacterial small subunit ribosomal RNA", at positions 335 to 795 of the family's 1533-position model. The record is from RNAcentral.
ACUCCUACGGGAGGCAGCAGUGGGGAAUAUUGGACAAUGGGCGAAAGCCUGAUCCAGCGACGCCGCGUGAGUGAAGAAGUAUUUCGGUAUGUAAAGCUCUAUCAGCAGGGAAGAAAAUGACGGUACCUGACUAAGAAGCCCCGGCUAACUACGUGCCAGCAGCCGCGGUAAUACGUAGGGGGCAAGCGUUAUCCGGAUUUACUGGGUGUAAAGGGAGCGUAGACGGUUAAGCAAGUCUGAAGUGAAAGCCCGGGGCUCAACCCCGGUACUGCUUUGGAAACUGUUUGACUUGAGUGCAGGAGAGGUAAGUGGAAUUCCUAGUGUAGCGGUGAAAUGCGUAGAUAUUAGGAGGAACACCAGUGGCGAAGGCGGCUUACUGGACUGUAACUGACGUUGAGGCUCGAAAGCGUGGGGAGCAAACAGGAUUAGAUACCCUGGUAGUC